UCGAUGAAGAACGCAGCGAAAUGCGAUAAGUAAUGUGAAUUGCAGAAUUCAGUGAAUCAUCGAAUCUUUGAACGCACAUUGCGCCCCUUGGUAUUCCGAGGGGCAUGCCUGUUCGAGCGUCAUUACAACCCUCAAGCAAUGCUUGGUGUUGGGCCUCGCCGGUCACCCGGCGGGCUCUAAAAUCAGUGGCGGUGCCGUCGGGCUCUGAGCGUAGUAAUUCUUCUCGCUAUAGAGUCCCGGUGGAUGCUGGCCAACAACCCCCAAUUUUCUAUGGUUGACCUCGGAUCAGGUAGGGAUACCCGCUGAACUUAA
Molecule: ribosomal RNA, 312 nt
Filed under: uncultured Leptodontidium
Lineage: Eukaryota; Fungi; Ascomycota
Description: eukaryotic LSU rRNA
Rfam family: 5.8S ribosomal RNA (bases 1-122)
Source: RNAcentral